GUUAUUUGUGUGUUUUUUUUUUAUUAUUAUUAUCAUUGUAUACUCAUUUUACGAUCUUUUACUAUUUCAUUAAAAGAUCAAAAUGAAUUACUUAAAUUCUUUUUCUAUACGCAUUAAAAUGUUUGUAGCAUUUCACUCUUUAUAAUGUGCCAUACGUUGUAUUUUGGAAGGCAACAUUGAACAUUUAAUUUCUGCAACUUUUAUUUGAAACGGCCUCUAUAUUAUAUAACAGACAUUGAAGUAGUUUCUUACUGAAGUCAUAAACAAAUCGGUCUUUUUUUUAAUUACAUUAAAGAACGAACGCUGGUUUCUUUUGUUCUGAAAUUUUCCAUAGAUUUUCCCGUGUGAUACUGAAAUAUCUUCAUAUCAUAGAUGACAGUCAUGAUCGGAUUUAAGUAAAUUCUCUUGGAUAAAUUUUGGCAGUAUAUUAAGACUACUCUCGUUUAUUUAACGAUAAAAAUAUAAUCAAGAAAAC
This 475-nucleotide long non-coding RNA is filed under the name Mytilus galloprovincialis (Mediterranean mussel). Lineage: Eukaryota; Metazoa; Mollusca; Bivalvia; Mytilida; Mytilidae. The record is from RNAcentral.